Molecule: ribosomal RNA, 277 nt
Filed under: uncultured bacterium
Lineage: Bacteria
Description: partial 16S ribosomal RNA
Rfam family: Bacterial small subunit ribosomal RNA
Source: RNAcentral
GACGAACGCUGGCGGCGUGCCUAAUACAUGCAAGUGGAGCGACGAACCAGGGCUUGCCCUGGGGCAAAGCCGCGAACGGGUGAGUAACACGUGGGUUACCUGCCCCGAUGAUUGGGACAACCCGAGGAAACUCGGGCUAAUACCGAAUGUGCCCUCCGGCCACAAGGCCGCUGGGGAAAGGAAGCUUCGGCCUCCGCAUCGGGAUGGGCCCGCGGCCCAUUAGCUUGUUGGUGGGGUAACGGCCUACCAAGGCGACGACGGCUAGCUGGUCUGAGAG